Bubalus bubalis (water buffalo) is the source of this 386-nucleotide long non-coding RNA. RefSeq lists it as uncharacterized. The transcript has 2 exons. The record is from RefSeq and is a predicted model, not a curated record. NCBI's taxonomy places the organism in Eukaryota, Metazoa, Chordata, Mammalia, Artiodactyla, Bovidae.
ACAGCCCUGAGAGUAAAAGGGAAGUCAGCUGCGACCUGUUGAGAGAAGGAAAGAGGCAGGUCUGGGCUUGAUGGGGAAAUGAGCGAAUCUGAAGGAGGUAAAGGAAUAGUGGGAACAAAGGGCCCCCUGAGGAGGCUGCACACUAAGGAGAAGUGGAUGGCUGGAGCAUCUAAUGCCUGGACACUGGAGUCACAUGAGAUGUGAGGAUGCUCCCAGCCAGGAAGAAGAGUGAUUGAUGCUAGUGAUUGAGCUGGAACUUAGAUUCCCUGUGGAAAAGGGAAAAGAUGAAUAAGAGCAAGGACCACUUAAUGAGGAUCUGAUGUUUUCUUCUAUCCACACUUCCUACAAAGGCCUGCCACCUCUAAACCAGCAGGUGGUUCAGCUUU